GCCAGGCGUGGUGGCGCAUGCCUGUAAUCCCAGCUACUCGGGAGGCUGAGGCAGGAGAAUUGCUUGAACCCGGGAGGCAGAGGUUGCAGUGAGCCAAGAUCGCGCCAUUGCACUCCAACCUGGGCAACAAGAGUGAAACUCCAUCUCAAACAAAAAAGAAAAAGAAAAAGAAAAAGAGACAGCAUCUCACUCUGUUGCCCAGGCUGGAGUGCAAUGAUGCAAUCAUGGCUCACGGUAACUUCGAACUCCUGGGCUCAAGCAAGCUUCCUCCCUCA
Molecule: unclassified non-coding RNA, 275 nt
Organism: Gorilla gorilla gorilla (western lowland gorilla)
Lineage: Eukaryota; Metazoa; Chordata; Mammalia; Primates; Hominidae
Rfam family: Metazoan signal recognition particle RNA
About the family: The signal recognition particle (SRP) is a universally conserved ribonucleoprotein. It is involved in the co-translational targeting of proteins to membranes. The eukaryotic SRP consists of a 300-nucleotide 7S RNA and six proteins: SRPs 72, 68, 54, 19, 14, and 9.
Source: Ensembl